Molecule: ribosomal RNA, 435 nt
Filed under: Triticum aestivum (bread wheat)
Lineage: Eukaryota; Viridiplantae; Streptophyta; Magnoliopsida; Poales; Poaceae
Description: partial small subunit ribosomal RNA
Source: RNAcentral
AUGGUGGGGAACGACUGGAUCAACAGCUACCUGGAGGCCAUCCUGGACGCGGGGAGCGCCGCAAGGGACAUCUCGGCCGCCUCGUCUUUCGUGGGCGGCGAUGGGCCUGGCGCGGGCUCCGCGGCGGCGGAGAAGAAGCGGGACAAGGCGUCGCUCAUGCUGCGGGAGCGCGACCGCUUCAACCCGGCGUGCUACUUCGUGGAGGAGACGUCGGUGAGGAGGAGCCUGCACGAGCGUAACACAUGGAUCUGGAACCUCGCCAGGAAGAAGAAGCAGGCUGUAGUCUUCCACUAUGGAUCAAUAAGCUUGAUUGCCGAGCCUUGCCAGACAACGCAUCUGCACGCCCAUGAAGGUUUCCAAAGAGGCCGGCACGCUUCUCCUGCUGCUACUACCCCGACCGUCCUCAACUUGCUCCUGGACAGCUACCGCAGAUAA